AGGGCUAGCUACCGUGCCACGGAUAGAAGCGCGGCGCAGUUGGGUUGUUUUUGAUGAGGAACGAGGAGUCAUGGCAUGCUCAAUUUAGGUAUUUUGAUUAGUGCUCGACAGUUUCAUCUCUGGAAGACUUUACGACUUCAUGCGAACGUCGAACGAAUGUGUUAGCCUGAGACAAGACGGAUGUGUGGAUCCAUUGUGUUCGGAAGGCCGCGCUAGCUGCCUUGUCCGCAAUGCAGCCAUUUGCAGAUGGUUCCGUACGUACGAAAUCUACGAAAUUGCUACCUUCUGCCGCCUUUCUAAGGAGGCAAAUAAGGUGCUUCACAGCCCCUGUACACUCAAUCUGCAAAGUUUUUAAUAAAUGAAGUCCAAAUUCAA
Long non-coding RNA from Rhipicephalus microplus (southern cattle tick), 375 nucleotides. RefSeq lists it as uncharacterized. NCBI's taxonomy places the organism in Eukaryota, Metazoa, Arthropoda, Arachnida, Ixodida, Ixodidae. The record is from RefSeq and is a predicted model, not a curated record.